This 466-nucleotide ribosomal RNA is filed under the name uncultured bacterium. RNAcentral's name for it is "partial 16S ribosomal RNA". It matches the Rfam family "Bacterial small subunit ribosomal RNA", at positions 28 to 507 of the family's 1533-position model. The record is from RNAcentral.
GACGAACGCUGGCGGCGUGCUUAACACAUGCAAGUCGAACGGAAAGGCCCAGCUUGCUGGGUACUCGAGUGGCGAACGGGUGAGUAACACGUGGGUGAUCUGCCCUGCACUCUGGGAUAAGCCUGGGAAACUGGGUCUAAUACCGGAUAUGACCAACUGUCGCAUGGUGGUUGGUGGAAAGCUUUUGCGGUGUGGGAUGGGCCCGCGGCCUAUCAGCUUGUUGGUGGGGUAAUGGCCUACCGAGGCGACGACGGGUAGCCGACCUGAGAGGGUGAUCGGCCACACUGGGACUGAGACACGGCCCAGACUCCUACGGGAGGCAGCAGUGGGGAAUAUUGCACAAUGGGCGCAAGCCUGAUGCAGCGACGCCGCGUGAGGGAUGACGGCCUUCGGGUUGUAAACCUCUUUCACCAGGGACGAAGCGUGAGUGACGGUACCUGGAGAAGAAGCACCGGCCAACUACGUG